AAGGUCGUAGUAAUCGAGAAGAUUCUGGACAAACUUCAAAAUUGGAAAUCGAAGACCAAUCCGAAAGUCUUCAACAUAGAAGGCAACUUGGUCCGAAGGAGGAGAGUUCAUCCGACCAUCGGAGCCAGGAGCGAAGAGCUGAUACUGCUCCGGAAUACGAUAUUGCUCUUGGAGCUGUUCAACAUUAGGUCCGGAUAGGGAAGAAGCUCCCACUUCCUGACCCGAUGGAGAUUCAUCAAUCGGAUUUUUCGACCGACUAUCCUGAGAAGAAGAAGCCUAGCCAUAAAGAAGGAAAACUAGAGAACCCUAAAAUGAAAACUCAAAAGGGAGAUAGACCCAAGGAGAAGGACGAGAAAACUUGAUCUGAAAACCAAAAAAGGGGGGCAAAGAAGAGACCCUGGAGCUCUCUGGUACUGGGAUGAUCUUCCGACAAAGCUUCCACAGUAGAGGAUGGUGACAAAAUGCAAAAUAAAAGUUUGGCUGAAAGUGACCCUAUAUAUAGGAUCUAUCAAUGGUCCAGAUGAAAUCGAUCAAAUCAGAAUCUCAUUAGAUGACAAUACGUGGCAACAUCCAGACCGACCAUUGGUCGGACGGUUCGACGCACCUGCUCCUGAUCGUGCCACCUCAUCGUUAUCCACGUAAACAGCUCUGACCCAAUGAUGUUCGAACAAGUGGCCAAGAUCUACUAGUCAGAAUCGUAUUAUCCAGUGUCGAAUUAUCUUCCUAAAAUGACAUCCGAUGCUGAAUUAUCCUAUCGAAAUGAUAGUCCAAUAAUGAUUUCACAGCUAUCAAAACAGCAAAAUAGCCGAAGAUCUCUAGUACUCCAAAAAUCAUAAAG
Molecule: long non-coding RNA, 838 nt
Filed under: Elaeis guineensis (African oil palm)
Lineage: Eukaryota; Viridiplantae; Streptophyta; Magnoliopsida; Arecales; Arecaceae
Description: long non-coding RNA (EGUI_LNC012880)
Source: RNAcentral